RNAcentral lists this ribosomal RNA (492 nucleotides) under uncultured bacterium. Its description in RNAcentral is "partial 16S ribosomal RNA". It matches the Rfam family "Bacterial small subunit ribosomal RNA", at positions 29 to 523 of the family's 1533-position model. The record is from RNAcentral.
AUUGAACGCUGGCGGCAUGCUUUACACAUGCAAGUCAAACGGUAACAGGUUAAGCUGACGAGUGGCGAACGGGUGAGUAAUGCAUCGGAACGUGCCCGAUCGUGGGGGAUAACGCAGCGAAAGCUGCGCUAAUACCGCAUACGAUCUGAGGAUGAAAGCGGGGGACCGGAAGGCCUCGCGCGAUCGGAGCGGCCGAUGUCAGAUUAGGUAGUUGGGGGGGUAAAGGCUCACCAAGCCAACGAUCUGUAGCUGGUCUGAGAGGACGACCAGCCACACUGGGACUGAGACAAGGCCGAGACUCCGACGCGAGGCAGGAGUGGGAAUGUUGGACAAUGGGCGAAAGCCUGAUCCAGCAAUGCCGCGUGCAGGAAGAAGGCCUUCGGGUUGUAAACUGCUUUUGUACGGAGCGAAAAGGCUCUCUCUAAUACAGGGGGCUCAUGACGGUACCGUAAGAAUAAGCACCGGCUAACUACGUGCCAGCCGCCGCGGUAA